This 182-nucleotide ribosomal RNA is filed under the name uncultured bacterium. Its description in RNAcentral is "partial 16S ribosomal RNA". It matches the Rfam family "Bacterial small subunit ribosomal RNA", at positions 1319 to 1500 of the family's 1533-position model. The record is from RNAcentral.
CAUGAAGCUGGAAUCGCUAGUAAUCGCGGAUCAGAAUGCCGCGGUGAAUACGUUCCCGGGUCUUGUACACACCGCCCGUCACACCAUGGGAGUCGGAAAUGCCCGAAGUCUGUGACCCAACCUCAGGGAGGGAGCAGCCGAAGGCAGGUCGGAUGACUGGGGUGAAGUCGUAACAAGGUAAC